RNAcentral lists this unclassified non-coding RNA (347 nucleotides) under soil metagenome. RNAcentral describes it as "partial contains 5.8S ribosomal RNA, internal transcribed spacer 2, and large subunit ribosomal RNA". The stretch from base 1 to 120 matches the Rfam family "5.8S ribosomal RNA", at positions 35 to 154 of the family's 154-position model. The record is from RNAcentral.
GAUGAAGAACGUAGUGAAAUGCGAUAAGUAAUGUGAAUUGCAGAAUUCAGUGAAUCAUCGAGUCUUUGAACGCACAUUGCGCCCCCUGGUAUUCCGGGGGGCAUGCCUGUCCGAGCGUCAUUGCUGCCCUCAAGCACGGCUUGUGUGUUGGGCCCCGCCCCCCGGCUCCCGGGGGGCGGGCCCGAAAGGCAGCGGCGGCACCGCGUCCGGUCCUCGAGCGUAUGGGGCUUCGUCACCCGCUCCGUAGGCCCGGCCGGCGCCCGCCGGCGACCCCCCUCAAUCUUUUCAGGUUGACCUCGGAUCAGGUAGGGAUACCCGCUGAACUUAAGCAUAUCAAUAAGCGGAGA